AUGAAUCAUAAGGCAUUGUUGUCCUAUAUUUUCUUUGUUUCCUUUUCAUUACUAAAAUAUAGUAAUGUGGAGUGUCAACCAGUUUUGCCCCCACCAUACGCAACGCAUAAGUUGUAUUCAUUCAAUAAAGCGAACUCUCAUGAUAUCAAAAAUGAUUUAAGAAAAAUAGUAACAAAUUUUAUUGCUAGUAAAGUAAAGUUAUUAAAAAAUAAAUGGGAAGUGUAUAGAAGUGAUAACAUGGAAGAUGAUAAUAUUGAUAAAUUAGUAACAAAUGAUUAUGAUUCAUCAUUAGAAGACGAGGUAAAUUCAUUACUAAAACAAGCUGAAAAUAAAAGAUUGUUAUCAAAAAAAAUAAAAUCAUCAUAUGAUCGUGCAUUAAAAUCUCUAGAACAGAAAAAAAAAAAAAAAAGAAGAGCUGGAGGAGUAAGUGUAAAUGGGGGUACAUAUUAUGAUAGUAACAGUGAUGAUGAUAAAGCAAGACAUGUUUUAGAACACAAUUUAGAACAAAUAAAUUAUUUAAUAAAAAAAUCAGAAUAUUUAGAAAAGAAAGCUUUAGAAUUAAAAAGGCAUUUAAAAAAUAAUAUUGAUAAGGAUUAUGGACAGAAUGAUGAUUGUACUAUAUCCAAAACAGGUAUUUUAAAAUUUGUUACUUCUGUUAAUGGGUUAACACAUUCAAUUGAUAAAGUGCAAGCUGAAAUUAAUAAUAAUGGCUUUUUUAUAUUUUAUAAAAAUAAAAAAAAAAUGGCCUACUUAUGGAAUAUGAUAGAUUUGCCUAUUAAAUUAAUUGGUAAUGUUGAACAAUGCUUUUUUUUUGUUUAUAAAAAUAGUAAUCAAAUUUUUUGUACAGACAAUAAAUUAAAAACUGCCUCUUGGGUAAAUAGUUUAGCUGAAGCUUCGAUAUGUUCGAAUUUUGGAACGAAAGGAAUUUUAAUUGAUACGAAUAAUGUUAAUGAUAAAUUAAAGAAAAAAAAUAACAAAAAAAUGAAUGAUGACAACUUAUUAAAAAUUGAGUUAAAACCUGAAGAAAAUGUGACUCGUGUAUUUGUUAAUGAUAAAGAACAUAAACUUGAAAAUAAUGGGAAUGUUAUUAGUUUAAAUAAAAUCAAAAACCAAAUGGAAAAUGAAAAAAAAAAAAGCAAAAAGGAACAACAGACGGAAAACGAUGAUGAAAACAACCAAGUCGAUAAUCAUAACGAACAAAUAAAAGAGGACGCAGAAGAAGAAGAAACAGAAGAAGAUGAAAGAGCUGAGAAAAUUGAUAGUGAUGAAUAA
This 1272-nucleotide long non-coding RNA is filed under the name Piliocolobus tephrosceles (Ugandan red Colobus). RNAcentral's name for it is "lncRNA (ENSPTEG00000015624.1)". The record is from RNAcentral. Lineage: Eukaryota; Metazoa; Chordata; Mammalia; Primates; Cercopithecidae.